This is a long non-coding RNA of Centropristis striata (black sea bass), 1153 nucleotides long. RefSeq lists it as uncharacterized. Lineage: Eukaryota; Metazoa; Chordata; Actinopteri; Perciformes; Serranidae. The record is from RefSeq and is a predicted model, not a curated record. The transcript has 2 exons.
GGACCCGGCCCUGGAGGACCCGAUCCUGGAGGACCCGGCCCUGGAGGACCCUGUCCUGGAGGACCCGGUCCUAGAGGACCCGGACCCCCGGACCUUCUGGACUGGACUCCUCUGUAGAUGCUUUAAACAAGCAGACUGAGAGAGGUGUAAAAUACGUGUUUGUGACAUGAAUGAUAUUUAAUUUAGUGACUGAUGAACCGGCGUGUUGGGCUGAAGAGAAGAAGCUCCAACAAACGUGGAAUUAUUGUGUAACCUCGACGUGAUGAGUCUGAGCAGGGCUGCACCUCUCUCUACAAUAACAACAAUAAUAAUAAUGAUAAUAAUAAUAGUAAUGGGUCAGAGGUCGUAUGAAUGCACAGACACACUUCACUGCAUCAACUGGAACUGAGAAAAUAAACAGGAAGUAUAAUAAUAAACAUUAAUAACCUGGUAUAUAUAUAUUUAAGCAUUUUAUUAAACGUGAUGUUAAAUAUCUUCCUGCUGGAAAACAUCCUGAGAAACACGAUUAAUUGAGCCACGACAAAAACAUUUCCUGUGACCCCCCUUCAAAAUAAAAGCCUCUCCAUGUCAGACUCAUCAAACAAACAACAUGUGAUGGUCUUGACUGGGACCUGGUUUUGACCUGGACCAGGUCUUGGAGAUGUGGGGUGUUGCUGAGUAUCAAACUUUAACUUAAACUAAAACCUAAAUUGUUUGUGCAGAUACGACCAGUGUAACAGGAAGUAGUUUUAUUUUGAAAGGUUGUGUGUGCAGCCCUGCUGUGGUGUGACCCGCUUCACUUCCUGUCUGUCUUUGUGUCCUCCGACUGACUGCAGAGACGACCGGACGUCUCGUCUCGUGUGUUUUUUAAAGCCCAGUGGAUUUUUGUCACAAGUGAAUCUGGUUUUAAUAUUCAGUUAUCGGAGACGUUCAUAACUUUACUGUAAAUGAAUAAACUUGUGGUUGUAAAGACGCCGCGGCGUGGAUCAGCUGAUCUCGGCGAGCUGCGGCGGCGGCGGACGCCUGUAGAUUUGUACAGAAACGUUUCCUUCCCGUCUCAUGUCCUCGGAGCUUCAGUGUGUUUGAGCGCCCCCUGCUGUAGACCUGGAUGAUAACCUGUUAGGUUUGUUGACACUAAUUGGACGUGCAAAUAAAAAAACAAGUUAGCCCUGAA